GAUGAAGAACGCAGUGAAAUGCGAUAAGUAAUGUGAAUUGCAGAAUUCCGUGAAUCAUCGAAUCUUUGAACGCACAUUGCGCCCUCUGGUAUUCCGGGGGGCAUGCCUGUCCGAGCGUCAUUUGCAACCCUCAAGCCCGGCUUGUGUGAUGGGUGCCGUCCCCUACGGGACGCGCCCCGAAGGCAAUGGCGGCGUCGCGGUUAUCCGAUCAGCCAAAGUGUAUGGGGCUUUGUCACUCACUUUACGGCCCGGACCGGCGCCAGUCCGAAUCAAUCUUUUUUCUAAAGUUGACCUCGGAUCAGGUAGGGAUACCCGCUGAACUUAAGCAUAUCAAUAAGCGGAGGA
This 345-nucleotide unclassified non-coding RNA is filed under the name soil metagenome. RNAcentral's name for it is "partial contains 5.8S ribosomal RNA, internal transcribed spacer 2, and large subunit ribosomal RNA". The stretch from base 1 to 120 matches the Rfam family "5.8S ribosomal RNA", at positions 35 to 154 of the family's 154-position model. The record is from RNAcentral.